UUAAAGAAGGUAUUUCUACCCUAUCGAGCCUUUUAUUACCUCGAAAGAUUAUCCCUUCCCAGAUGAAAUUGUGUGAGAUGCACGGCUUCUGCGAUAGCUCGGAAAAGGCGUAUGCAGCUGUGGUCUAUUUUCGCAUAAUUACUUAUGAUGAUAACGUUCAGACGUAUUUGCUAUGUUCUAAGAGUAGAGUAGCUCCUCUUAAGACAAUCUCGAUUCCAAGGCUAGAGUUGUGCUCGGCUGUCUUAUUGGCAGAUUUAAUGUCAUCAGUGAAAGAAGCGCUUGCUGAUUCUAUAAAUAUUUCGUCAUUGUUUGCAUGGACUGAUUCCACCGUAGCUUUAAGCUGGAUAAAGUCUUCUCCCCAUAAAUGGACUACUUUUGUAAGUAACCGCGUAUCGUAUAUUCAGGAAAAAUUAUCUGCGGAUUGCUGGGCUCAUGUUAGGUCGGAAAAUAAUCCUGCUGACUGUGCAACCAGAGGUCUUCUUCCCUCCGAGUUACUUCACCUCGAAAAAUGGUGGGCCGGACCCGGUUUUCUAACAUCCUGUCUCACUAAAUGGGUUAACGAUUCUUACACGUCUGACGAUAAUAUGGACCUUGAAAAAAGGAAGAUUGUAUUAUUAGCCUCAACUCCAGUGGUUGACUUAUGGAAUAAUUUUAUCUCAAGAUUCUCCUCUUUAUCCAAAAUUAUUCGUGUUUUUGCAUAUGUUUUACGCUUUUGUGCAUAUGUAAAAGCUCCAAAACUUUUUAACAAUAAAGGUCAUGUAACAUUGGCAGAAUUGGAUAGAGCUCUCUUACUUUUAAUCCGAGAAGUUCAGAAAGUUUCAUUUGCUCAAGAAAUGGCAGAACUUUCGAAAUCCAAUCCUAAUCUAAGAGUAUUACCGAAAUAUAUUCGAAAGCUAUCUCCCUUUUUAGAUAAGGAUGGUGUCCUCAGGGUGGGCGGACGAUUGAAACACGCUUCACUUUCUUAUAAUCAUAAACACCCCUGUCUAUUGCCCAGUGAUCAUCGAAUUACCUCUCUCAUCAUUGAACAAACUCACAUUAAAUAUAUGCACCCUGGUUUACAAACUACCCAAUUCCUACUCAGUCAACGCUUUUGGAUUCCUUCUUCAAGAAGAAUUAUUAAAAAGGUUUUGUCUUCCUGCAUGCGUUGCUUUAGGUGUAACCCUUCAUCACAAAUUCCUCUUAUGGGUGAUUUACCGUCCUUCAGAGUAAAUCAAGUAAAAUGUUUCACCAAAAGUGGUGUGGAUUUUGGAGGGCCAUACUUAAUCACUAUGGGCAAGCAUCGUGGCAGCAAAACUUGUAAGGCUUAUAUUUGCCUUUUUGUCUGCUUGUGCACAAAGGCUCUUCACCUGGAACUGGUUACAGAGCUAUCAAGCGAUGCCUUUCUGGCCGCAUUAAGGCGCUUUGUUUCUCGCCGAGGUCGUGUCACAGACAUGUUUAGCGAUUGUGGGACGAAUUUUGUGGGUGCGUCAAAAGAGUUGAUGCAAAAUAUGCGUAAUGCAUCGAUCCACGAAGGCAUAGUGUGGCAUUUCAACCCCCCUUCAGCCCCAAAUUUUGGUGGAAUUUGGGAAGCUGGAAUUAAGGCCGUAAAGGGCCAUCUACAUCGCGUAGUUGGUUCGCACAUCCUCACCUAUGAGGAGUUUAAUACUGUCUUAACCUCAAUAGAGGCAAUCCUAAACUCUCGACCUCUCUGUUCAUUAAGUAGCGACCCUAAUGACUUAAACCCUUUGACCCCUAGUCAUUUUUUGAAUUUUGAACCCUUAAAUACCUUCGUUGAAUCCGACCUAACAGAGAUUAAAUUGGGUCGUCUUUCGCGCUGGCAACUUAUUCAACGUAUCCACCAGGAUUUUUGGAAGAGGUGGCAUAAUGAAUAUUUACACACCCUUAAUCAGAGGUCGAAGUGGUAUGAUACAAGUAAAGCCAUUGAAGUUGAUUCGUUGGUAUUAAUAAAGGAGGAUAAUGCUCCACCCCUUUCGUGGUUGUUGGGUCGUGUAAUAGAAUGUUUUCCAGGCAGGGAUGGCAUUACGCGUGUUGUAGCGGUAAAGACGCAUAAGGGGAUACUGCGCCGUCCUGUCUCGAAGUUAUGUUCAUUACCGAACAAUUAGUUUUUCCUGCGGAAAAUUUAUAUUUCGCGUUAGAAUUCAUGCUUUUUUUUUAAUUUUUGCUCUUUUUUUUUACUUAAAAUGUGGGACAUUUUAGGUGGGCGGUAUGUUCCGUCAAAGCGGAAUGGUUACUUAUUUAUAUAUAUAUUUUUUUUCUUUAUUGGGUCUUGUGUUUAAAUAUAAUUAACAUGAGCUUUAUUGGUUUUAAAUUCUAAUCUUAUUCUAAUUACUUUCGCGGCCUUUUAUCGCGUCAUAGUGAGACAGCCUUAUUCUUUGACCGAGAAGAGUCGCACGCAUCACCAGGUAGUACUGCACCGAAUUUUGAUGCAGUCAGGAGAAGCGCAUAAACCUUGAACAAAAUAGGUUGCUCUCAAUAUACACACAUAUUUUUCGCGAGUGAAUUCCAAAGACAUUAAGUGCCGGCACGUCUUUAAGCAAAAUAACCCAGUUUGAAUUGGAUAGAAAAAGAAGCGACAGCAAGAUAUUGAUGAACAAAUGAAAUGGCGCCUCAUCGAACAAGAAUUUAUCCAGAAAAACCUGAAAAUACUGUCAGGCAAAAUAGAACAGGAGGAGCGGAAUUUUAAAAAACUAAAUUCAGAUCUUAGUGCAACUCAAGCUCAA
Molecule: RNA transcript, 2720 nt
Organism: Anthonomus grandis grandis
Lineage: Eukaryota; Metazoa; Arthropoda; Insecta; Coleoptera; Curculionidae
Gene name: flagellar attachment zone protein 1-like
Exons: 2
Source: RefSeq, a predicted model, not a curated record